This is an unclassified non-coding RNA of Cricetulus griseus (Chinese hamster), 267 nucleotides long. Its record names the gene 7SK. It matches the Rfam family "7SK RNA". Rfam says of the family: 7SK was discovered as an abundant small nuclear RNA in the mid-70s but a possible function has only recently been suggested. Two independent studies have found that 7SK RNA binds the CDK9/cyclin T complex (known as elongation factor P-TEFb). The record is from Ensembl. NCBI's taxonomy places the organism in Eukaryota, Metazoa, Chordata, Mammalia, Rodentia, Cricetidae.
GGAUGUAAGGGCGGUCUGGCUGCGACAUCUGUCAUCCCAUUGAUCGCCAGCUGAUCUGGCUGGCUUGGCUGGAAUCUUCCUCAUUCUUCAUCAUUCCCUGUAUGUCCCUCCAGAUGCUACAAAUAGAGGAGACCUGGUCUUUGGUCAAGUGUAUUGGAGUAGCUGUGCUCCCCUGCUAGAACCUCUAAAAAUCUGAAGGUCCAACUCAUGCCUGGACUUUCCUUUGGUCCAUUGACAGUUUCCCUUGUUUACAUCAAAGGUAAAGCU